Molecule: transfer RNA, 69 nt
Filed under: Danio albolineatus (pearl danio)
Lineage: Eukaryota; Metazoa; Chordata; Actinopteri; Cypriniformes; Danionidae
Also listed under: 1 other name
Description: tRNA-His
Rfam family: tRNA
About the family: Transfer RNA (tRNA) molecules are approximately 80 nucleotides in length. Their secondary structure includes four short double-helical elements and three loops (D, anti-codon, and T loops). Further hydrogen bonds mediate the characteristic L-shaped molecular structure. tRNAs have two regions of fundamental functional importance: the anti-codon, which is responsible for specific mRNA codon recognition, and the 3' end, to which the tRNAs corresponding amino acid is attached (by aminoacyl-tRNA synthetases). tRNAs cope with the degeneracy of the genetic code in two manners: having more than one tRNA (with a specific anti-codon) for a particular amino acid; and 'wobble' base-pairing, i.e. permitting non-standard base-pairing at the 3rd anti-codon position.
Source: RNAcentral
GUAAGUAUAGUUUAACCAAAAUAUUAGAUUGUGAUUCUAAAGACAGGAGUUAAAAUCUCCUUACUGACC